Molecule: long non-coding RNA, 556 nt
Organism: Pieris brassicae (large cabbage white)
Lineage: Eukaryota; Metazoa; Arthropoda; Insecta; Lepidoptera; Pieridae
Exons: 4
Source: RefSeq, a predicted model, not a curated record
CCGGAGUCGUAACAAGCCAUAAUGAUUUAUUCUGAGCAAUUAUAAGCAGUGCUCAUUCGCCAUAUAAAAUUAAUGCGACAGAAUGGGAUUAAAUCGAUUCGACACGCAUAAAAUAUUUUUGGCCAAUUGCCUUUAAAUCAUGGUUUCGAGGCGACCCUCCAGAAUGAGAAUGCAAACGGACAGGAGGAUCACUUGACUUUUGGUGCUACCCCUACCUCGCGGUGACGUUGCCAGAACUCAAAAGGUAUUACUGAGGGCCGGAAAGAGAUGGAGCGUGAAAUAGGAGACUCAAGACCGAAGGCGAUGGAGACUCACUAUGGACAACCUCUGCCCCAUCUAAGGUCUAUAGGACAUUAAGUUAAGACUAGGGCAUAAAAGGCCAGGACGCUCACCUCCAGUGAUACACGUGGACACUGUCAAUGCCAGAGGGCUCGCGAGUGCGUUGUCGACCUUUAAAUGUGUUUUACAUUUUCUAUUUCUAUUGUACAAAGUAAUGUACCUACUACAAAAUUGUGUAUCACUUAAAAGUAAUGUUUAUUAUUUAAGAAAAACUUAA